UACAGAGGGGGCAAGCGUUGUUCGGAAUUACUGGGCGUAAAGGGCGCGUAGGCGGCCUGCUAAGUCGAACGUGAAAUCCCUGGGCUCAACCCAGGAACUGCGUCCGAUACUGGUUGGCUUGAAUCCGGGAGAGGGAUGUGGAAUUCCAGGUGUAGCGGUGAAAUGCGUAGAUAUCUGGAGGAACACCGGUGGCGAAGGCGGGUCUCUGGGCCGAUACUGACGCUGAGGAGCGAAAGCUAGGGGAGCAAACAGG
This 253-nucleotide ribosomal RNA is filed under the name uncultured bacterium. Its description in RNAcentral is "partial 16S ribosomal RNA". It matches the Rfam family "Bacterial small subunit ribosomal RNA", at positions 524 to 776 of the family's 1533-position model. The record is from RNAcentral.